Molecule: non-coding RNA, 106 nt
Filed under: Anoxynatronum buryatiense
Lineage: Bacteria; Bacillati; Bacillota; Clostridia; Eubacteriales; Clostridiaceae
Source: RNAcentral
GAAAGCUGUAUGAGGGAAAACCUCACGUACGGUUUGAUGAGGGGAGGCUGAAAGUAAAUGGGCGAUCUGUAAAGAUCACCCAUUGAAAUCAGCUUUCUACUUAUUC